Molecule: ribosomal RNA, 127 nt
Filed under: Lecanora atra
Lineage: Eukaryota; Fungi; Ascomycota; Lecanoromycetes; Lecanorales; Lecanoraceae
Description: partial 5.8S ribosomal RNA
Rfam family: 5.8S ribosomal RNA
About the family: 5.8S ribosomal RNA (5.8S rRNA) is a component of the large subunit of the eukaryotic ribosome.
Source: RNAcentral
CUUUCAACAACGGAUCUCUUGGUUCCAGCAUCGAUGAAGAACGCAGCGAAAUGCGAUAAGUAAUGUGAAUUGCAGAAUUCAGUGAAUCAUCGAAUCUUUGAACGCACAUUGCGCCCCUCGGUAUUCC